GCAGUCAUGGCCGAGUGGUUAAGGCAAUGGACUAGAAAUCCAUUGGGGUCUCCCCGCACAGGUUUGAACGCUGUCGACUGGG
Molecule: transfer RNA, 82 nt
Filed under: Ixodes scapularis (black-legged tick)
Lineage: Eukaryota; Metazoa; Arthropoda; Arachnida; Ixodida; Ixodidae
Rfam family: tRNA
About the family: Transfer RNA (tRNA) molecules are approximately 80 nucleotides in length.
Source: Rfam by way of RNAcentral